This is a long non-coding RNA of Mus musculus (house mouse), 1468 nucleotides long. RefSeq annotates it as predicted gene, 53835. NCBI's taxonomy places the organism in Eukaryota, Metazoa, Chordata, Mammalia, Rodentia, Muridae. The transcript is spliced from 2 exons. The record is from RefSeq and is a predicted model, not a curated record.
GGAGGAGGAGGAGGCGGAGGCAGUUUCCAUGAGGUGUGCCAUUUCACUCAGGAGCAAGAAGCAUGUGACAACCUUCAGCCUUCAGAGAACCACAAACUUUCCCCUUCUGCAGUAUGCGUCUGAAUUCUGUAAUCAUAGUUCAAUGCUAGGUCUUCAGGUCUUCCCCUCACGAUGGCUAAGGUUCCUGAAGCUCACUGUUUAUCUGACUUGGUGAGAAAAUGUCAGUGUCACCACGUCUGUAUCUGAUAGGCAAAUGUGACCUUGAUACCACAGUGUGAUAGAGAAGAGAGGCCUCACAGAACCCAUCUCACCAAGUAUCGAGGAGCUGACUAGACGCUGGAUCCUGUCUUCCUCUGCACAAAGCCAGACUGUAUAGGAUUUGCAACUGGAAUGAGUAUUCCUCAAGGAGCUGCCACAGGGAACAAGCAACAGAGUCAGCCUUCAUGAAGCCUGUGUCAGCGCAUCUCCUGCACACUGGGACAUGUGGCUCCCCAGGAAAGGAAUGGAUUUGGGCAGAGAGAGCUGGUGGAUUGCACAUGGCUUGAAGGAAUCCUUCAGACACUCUGCCAAAGAAAUGAAGACUUACAGAGCCUAGAAUCCAUGCUUCUCGGCCUGCUGCAUGUCUUCAUGUGCCUGCCUUGGCCUCAUUCUCCCAAUGUCUCCAAAUGUGAGACUCUGUUCUUGGCCACUUCCCACUCUGCUGAUAGUGCUCUUCCCAUGCUUCUGACCCAGACAUUAUUUAUUCGCAGCCCUGUCUGGUAUUGGAGCAGAUGAACCUAGCAUGUUCAGGAGCCCAGGUGGCCAGAUGAGCUAUAGAUUGCCUAGUUUUCCUAGAGAUUCUCAUCUGAGAGAACACCUAAGAAUAGACUUGCAUUUUCUCCAAUCCUUGCUUCCUUCAAGUUCCCUUCUUAGACCUUCUUCCAGCAGGUUUCUACAAGACCUCUGGUUACUAUCCUGUUCCCUUGUUUCUAUUAGGAACCUUAAUUUUUUUUCCACACAAAACACACACACACACACACACACACACACACACACACACACACACACACACACAGAUUCCCUCCCCCCUCCCCCAUAGGCAUCCUUCCUGAAAUUCUGAGGUCUUUAGCAUACUCCUUGAGGAUGUCCUCUGUGAAGUCUCUCUAAUCCCAUUGCCAGAGAGUUCUGAACUUCAGCAGAUACUCAUCUGCUCUCCCAUAACAGACAGGUUUCUUUUCAUCUUUCUUCUGGCCUAUGCUGAGCACUUGGCAGAACUGAAGCAACUAUUUAAUGCUAGAGAGGAGGCAAAGAUGCAAGUUUCUUGGAGUGGGACCCAGACCUUCAUGAGUUGUGGUUUGCUGCUUUGCACUUUCUAUGAUUUUGUUUUGCUUUGCUGCUUUGUAAUUCCUAACAGACCCUGGAAGUCUUUCUCUGAAGUUCAUAAAUAUUAAUGAUACCUUAAAUAAAGAGAAGCAUUGAUGCUCAGUCA